AUGGUUAUUAGACUACACCUUAGGCCAUUGGAUCCAUCACGAUUGACGAGCAGGAAUUGCAGACCUUGAUCUGCAAAUUUCUGCAACCCUGCUAAGGGUAAUCACAGACUGGCACCUGGAAUGUGUCAAAUGAGAUUUCAGCAAGCUACUGGUAAAGAACCUCAUAAAAUCCUUCAAAUAAAUCAGAAUGUUACCCUGUGAAAGCUUGGAAACCUCUUAUGAAAAGGGCAAAUGAAGAUCCCAACAGAGUCAUGGCUCAAGACCUGUUUCGCAGAGUUCGCAGUAUUUUGAAUAAGAUCACAG
Non-coding RNA from Pelobates cultripes (western spadefoot toad), 303 nucleotides. Lineage: Eukaryota; Metazoa; Chordata; Amphibia; Anura; Pelobatidae. The record is from the annotation of a GenBank genome assembly.